RNAcentral lists this ribosomal RNA (513 nucleotides) under uncultured bacterium. RNAcentral describes it as "bacterial SSU rRNA". It matches the Rfam family "Bacterial small subunit ribosomal RNA", at positions 32 to 518 of the family's 1533-position model. The record is from RNAcentral.
GACGCUGGCGGCGUGCCUAAUACAUGCAAGUCGAACGGUCUUUCUAUGGAAGCUUGCUUCCACUGGGAAGAUAGUGGCGAACGGGUGAGUAACACGUGGGUAACCUGCCCAUAAGAGGGGGAUAACAUCCGGAAACGGGUGCUAAUACCGCAUAGUUUUCUUGAUCGCAUGAUUGAGAAAGGAAAGACGGCCUUUGUGCUGUCGCUUAUGGAUGGACCCGCGGCGUAUUAGUUAGUUGGUGAGGUAAUGGCUCACCAAGACGAUGAUACGUAGCCGACCUGAGAGGGUGAUCGGCCACAUUGGGACUGAGACACGGCCCAAACUCCUACGGGAGGCAGCAGUAGGGAAUCUUCCGCAAUGGACGAAAGUCUGACGGAGCAACGCCGCGUGAGUGAAGAAGGUUUUCGGAAUCGUAAAACUCUGUUGUCAGAGAAGAACAAGUUGGAGAGUAACUGCUCCAGCCUUGACGGUAUCUGACCAGAAAGCCACGGCUAACUACGUGCCAGCAGCAGC